UACGGAGGGUGCAAACGUUGCUCGGAAUCAUUGGGCGUAAAGCGCACGUAGGCGGACCGCUAAGUCGGAUGUGAAAGCCCUCGGCUUAACCGAGGAAGUGCAUUCGAAACUGACAGUCUUGAGUAUGGAAGAGGGUCGCGGAAUUCCCGGUGUAGAGGUGAAAUUCGUAGAUAUCGGGAGGAAUACCAGUGGCGAAGGCGACUGUCUGGGAUAUUCCUGACGCUGAGGAGCGAAAGCGUGGGGAGCAAACGGG
Molecule: ribosomal RNA, 253 nt
Filed under: uncultured bacterium
Lineage: Bacteria
Description: partial 16S ribosomal RNA
Rfam family: Bacterial small subunit ribosomal RNA
Source: RNAcentral